GCUCCAAUAGCGUAUAUUAAAGUUGUUGCAGUUAAAAAGCUCGUAGUUGGAUUUCUGGUGGGAGAGUUUGGCCGGCUCAAUGAGUUUGUGCCUAUAUUCUUUCGCCAUCCUUGGGGAAAACUUGCUUGGCAUUAAGUUGUCGAGUUUGGGAUCCCCAUCGUUUACUGUGAAAAAAUUAGAGUGUUCAAAGCAGGCUUAUG
RNAcentral lists this ribosomal RNA (200 nucleotides) under uncultured eukaryote. RNAcentral's name for it is "partial 18S ribosomal RNA". It matches the Rfam family "Eukaryotic small subunit ribosomal RNA", at positions 588 to 790 of the family's 1831-position model. The record is from RNAcentral.